This 355-nucleotide transfer-messenger RNA is filed under the name Clostridium botulinum. It matches the Rfam family "transfer-messenger RNA". From Rfam's summary of the family: Bacterial tmRNA, also known as 10Sa RNA or SsrA, is named for its dual tRNA and mRNA-like properties. RNAcentral also lists the same sequence under 1 other name. The record is from RNAcentral. Lineage: Bacteria; Bacillati; Bacillota; Clostridia; Eubacteriales; Clostridiaceae.
GGGGGCGCAAUGGUUUCGACGGGGGCAAGUUGCUCCUGGGAAGCGAGUCGAAGGGAUCCUGUACCUGCGUUAAAAAACUGGGAACUUAAAUAUAAUUGCAAACGAUAAUUUUGCAUUAGCUGCCUAAUAGUUGCAGCUCGUCAGCCUAAGAGUCCCACGACUUAGGGUCUGGCGUCGACAGUGGGGAACCGAGCCUUACAAAGCUUUGAGUAAGGAACGGAAUUAAUGAAGCUACUGAAUCUAAGAGCCUGUUUAUCGGCGCUUAGAGGAGGGAAUGUAAAAGGAUAAACUGCACUCGGAGAUGCCCAGGGGUUGCUGCUUUCGGACAGGGGUUCGAUUCCCCUCGCCUCCACCA